GGGUGCAAGCGUUAAUCGGAAUUACUGGGCGUAAAGCGUGCGCAGGCGGUUGUGUAAGACAGGUGUGAAAUCCCCGGGCUUAACCUGGGAAUUGCAUUUGUGACUGCACGACUAGAGUGUGUCGGAGGGGGGUGGAAUUCCACGUGUAGCAGUGAAAUGCGUAGAUAUGUGGAGGAACACCAAUGGCGAAGGCAGCCCCCUGGGAUAACACAGACGCUCAUGCACGAAAGCGUGGGGAGCAAACAGGAUUAGAUACCCUGGUAGUCCACGCCCUAAACGAUGUCAACUAGUUGUUGGGGAUUUACUUCCUUGGUAACGUAGCUAACGCGUGAAG
This 334-nucleotide ribosomal RNA is filed under the name uncultured bacterium. RNAcentral describes it as "bacterial SSU rRNA". It matches the Rfam family "Bacterial small subunit ribosomal RNA", at positions 530 to 864 of the family's 1533-position model. The record is from RNAcentral.